AGUGAACGCUGGCGGCAGGCCUAACACAUGCAAGUCGAACGGCAGCACAGUAAGAGCUUGCUCUUACGGGUGGCGAGUGGCGGACGGGUGAGGAAUACAUCGGAAUCUACUUUUUCGUGGGGGAUAACGUAGGGAAACUUACGCUAAUACCGCAUACGACCUACGGGUGAAAGCAGGGGAUCUUCGGACCUUGCGCGAUUGAAUGAGACGAUGUCGGAUUAGCUAGUUGGCGGGGUAAAGGCCCACCAAGGCGACGAUCCGUAGCUGGUCUGAGAGGAUGAUCAGCCACACUGGAACUGAGACACGGUCCAGACUCCUACGGGAGGCAGCAGUGGGGAAUAUUGGACAAUGGGCGCAAGCCUGAUCCAGCCAUACCGCGUGAGUGAAGAAGGCCUUCGGGUUGUAAAGCCCUUUUAUUGGGAAAGAAAAGCAGCAGGUUAAUACCCCGCUGUUCUGACGGUACCUAAAGAAUAAGCACCGGCUAACUUCGUG
RNAcentral lists this ribosomal RNA (492 nucleotides) under uncultured bacterium. RNAcentral's name for it is "partial 16S ribosomal RNA". It matches the Rfam family "Bacterial small subunit ribosomal RNA", at positions 29 to 507 of the family's 1533-position model. The record is from RNAcentral.